RNAcentral lists this ribosomal RNA (484 nucleotides) under uncultured bacterium. RNAcentral's name for it is "partial 16S ribosomal RNA". It matches the Rfam family "Bacterial small subunit ribosomal RNA", at positions 30 to 507 of the family's 1533-position model. The record is from RNAcentral.
AUUGAACGCUGGCGGCAGGCCUAACACGUGCAAGUCGAGCGGAUGAAGGGAGCUUGCUCCUGGAUUCAGCGGCGGACGGGUGAGUAAUGCCUAGGAAUCUGCCUGGUAGUGGGGGAUAACGUCCGGAAACGGGCGCUAAUACCGCAUACGUCCUGAGGGAGAAAGUGGGGGAUCUUCGGACCUCACGCUAUCAGAUGAGCCUAGGUCGGAUUAGCUAGUUGGUGGGGUAAAGGCCUACCAAGGCGACGAUCCGUAACUGGUCUGAGAGGAUGAGCAGUCACACUGGAACUGGGACACGGUCCAGACUCCUACGGGAGGCAGCAGUGGGGAAUAUUGGACAAUGGGCGAAAGCCUGAUCCAGCCAUGCCGCGUGUGUGAAGAAGGUCUUCGGAUUGUAAAGCACUUUAAGUUGGGAGGAAGGGCAGUAAGUUAAUACCUUGCUGUUUUGACGUUACCAACAGAAUAAGCACCGGCUAACUUCGUG